Molecule: ribosomal RNA, 490 nt
Filed under: uncultured bacterium
Lineage: Bacteria
Description: partial 16S ribosomal RNA
Rfam family: Bacterial small subunit ribosomal RNA
Source: RNAcentral
AUUGAACGCUGGCGGCAGGCCUAACACAUGCAAGUCGAACGGUAACAGGAAGCAGCUUGCUGCUUUGCUGACGAGUGGCGGACGGGUGAGUAAUGUCUGGGAAACUGCCUGAUGGAGGGGGAUAACUACUGGAAACGGUAGCUAAUACCGCAUAACGUCGCAAGACCAAAGAGGGGGACCUUCGGGCCUCUUGCCAUCGGAUGUGCCCAGAUGGGAUUAGCUAGUGGGUGGGGUAAAGGCUCACCUAGGCGACGAUCCCUAGCUGGUCUGAGAGGAUGACCAGCCACACUGGAACUGAGACACGGUCCAGACUCCUACGGGAGGCAGCAGUGGGGAAUAUUGCACAAUGGGCGCAAGCCUGAUGCAGCCAUGCCGCGUGUAUGAAGAAGGCCUUCGGGUUGUAAAGUACUUUCAGCGGGGAGGAAGGGAGUAAAGUUAAUACCUUUGCUCAUUGACGUUACCCGCAGAAGAAGCACCGGCUAACUCCGUG